Molecule: transfer RNA, 70 nt
Filed under: Dipodomys ordii (Ord's kangaroo rat)
Lineage: Eukaryota; Metazoa; Chordata; Mammalia; Rodentia; Heteromyidae
Rfam family: tRNA
About the family: Transfer RNA (tRNA) molecules are approximately 80 nucleotides in length.
Source: Rfam by way of RNAcentral
GGGAAUGUGGCUUAGUGGUAAAGUGCUUGCCUUAGCAUGCAUGAAGCCUGGAUUCAAUUCCUCAAUUCCA